Molecule: ribosomal RNA, 344 nt
Filed under: uncultured bacterium
Lineage: Bacteria
Description: partial 16S ribosomal RNA
Rfam family: Bacterial small subunit ribosomal RNA
Source: RNAcentral
CCUACGGGUGGCUGCAGUGGGGAAUAUUGGGCAAUGGGCGCAAGCCUGACCCAGCAACGCCGCGUGAAGGAAGAAGGCUCUCGGGUUUUAAACUUCUUUUCUCAGGGACGAAGAAAGUGACGGUACCUGAGGAAUAAGCCACGGCUAACUACGUGCCAGCAGCCGCGGUAAUACGUAGGUGGCAAGCGUUAUCCGGAUUUAUUGGGUGUAAAGGGCGUGUAGGCGGGAGGGUAAGUCAGAUGUGAAAACUCGGGGCUCAACCCUGAUCCUGCAUUUGAAACUGGGUUUCUUGAGUGCUGGGGAGGCAAGCGGAAUUCGGGGUGUAGCGGUGAAAUGCGUAGAUA